This 332-nucleotide ribosomal RNA is filed under the name uncultured bacterium. RNAcentral describes it as "bacterial SSU rRNA". It matches the Rfam family "Bacterial small subunit ribosomal RNA", at positions 568 to 898 of the family's 1533-position model. The record is from RNAcentral.
UGUGUAGGCGGCUAUGUAAGUCGGAUGUGAAAGCCCCGGGCUCAACCCGGGAAGUGCACCCGAUACUGCGUAGCUUGAGACUCGGAGAGGUUGGUGGAAUUCUCGGUGUAGAGGUGAAAUUCGUAGAUAUCGAGAGGAACAUCGGUGGCGAAGGCGGCCAACUGGACGAAGUCUGACGCUGAGACACGAAAGCGUGGGGAGCAAACAGGAUUAGAUACCCUGGUAGUCCACGCCGUAAACGAUGGGUGCUAGGUGUCACGGGCAUUGACUCCCGUGGUGCCGUAGCCAACGCAUUAAGCACCCCGCCUGGGAAGUACGGCCGCAAGGCUAAA